GAUUGUAGGCUGAAACUCGCCUACAUGAAGCUGGAGUUACUAGUAAUCGCAGAUCAGAAUGCUGCGGUGAAUGCGUUCCCGGGUCUUGUACACACCGCCCGUCACACCAUGGGAGUCGGAAAUGCCCGAAGUCUGUGACCUAACCGCAAGGGAGGAGCAGCCGAAGGCAGGUCGGAUGACUGGGGUGAAGUCGUAACAAGGUAGC
This 205-nucleotide ribosomal RNA is filed under the name uncultured bacterium. RNAcentral's name for it is "partial 16S ribosomal RNA". It matches the Rfam family "Bacterial small subunit ribosomal RNA", at positions 1296 to 1500 of the family's 1533-position model. The record is from RNAcentral.